GAAGGCCGCUACCUGGCGACGGGAUGCCAAUCCCCAAAACCUACUCUCAGUUCUGAUCGAAGUCUGCAACCCGACUUCGUGAAGCUGGAUUCGCUAGUAAUCGCGCAUCAGCCAUGGCGCGGUGAAUACGUUCCCGGGCCUUGUACACACCGCCCGUCAAGCCAUGAAAGCCGGGGGUACCUGAAGUACGUAACCGCAAGGAUCGUCCUAGGGUAAAACUGGUAAUUGGGGCUAAGUCGUAACAAGGUAGC
This 251-nucleotide ribosomal RNA is filed under the name uncultured bacterium. RNAcentral describes it as "partial 16S ribosomal RNA". It matches the Rfam family "Bacterial small subunit ribosomal RNA", at positions 1242 to 1500 of the family's 1533-position model. The record is from RNAcentral.